UAGGGAAUAUUGCGCAAUGGGGGCAACCCUGACGCAGCAACUCCACGUGUGGGAUGACGCAUUUCGGUGUGUAAACCACUGUCGAGAGGGAAUAAGGCGCAGUUUCGACUGCGUUGAAUGUACCUUUAAAGGAAGCACCGGCAAACUUCGUGCCAGCAGCCGCGGUAAUACGAGGGGUGCAAGCGUUGUUCGGAAUCACUGGGCGUAAAGGGAGCGUAGGCGGAUAGUCAAGCGUUCUGUGCAAUCUCGGGGCCCAACCCCGAACACGCAGAGCGAACUGAUUAUCUUGAGUAGUUCAGAGGUUGGCGGAAUUCCUGGUGUAGCGGUGGAAUGCGUAGAUAUCAGGAGGAACACCAGUGGCGAAGGCGGCUUUCUGGACUGUAACUGACGCUGAGGCUCGAAAGCGUGGGGAGCGAACAGGAUUAGAUA
This 429-nucleotide ribosomal RNA is filed under the name uncultured Fibrobacter sp. RNAcentral describes it as "bacterial SSU rRNA". It matches the Rfam family "Bacterial small subunit ribosomal RNA", at positions 355 to 784 of the family's 1533-position model. The record is from RNAcentral. Lineage: Bacteria; Pseudomonadati; Fibrobacterota; Fibrobacteria; Fibrobacterales; Fibrobacteraceae.